UUAUUGAAAGCAGAAUAUUGCAUAAAAUUUAGAAUUUUAAGGUAGUACAAUAAA
RNAcentral lists this transfer RNA (54 nucleotides) under Histiostoma blomquisti. RNAcentral's name for it is "tRNA-Leu". The record is from RNAcentral. Lineage: Eukaryota; Metazoa; Arthropoda; Arachnida; Sarcoptiformes; Histiostomatidae.